This 585-nucleotide long non-coding RNA is filed under the name Ornithorhynchus anatinus (platypus). Its description in RNAcentral is "lncRNA (ENSOANG00000035015.2)". The record is from RNAcentral. Lineage: Eukaryota; Metazoa; Chordata; Mammalia; Monotremata; Ornithorhynchidae.
UUCCCUCUCUCCAAUUUAUCCUCUCUUUUCCCUCCUCAGGUUACCUCCCUGGCCCCAGAUGGCCAUGUCAGCGGCCUAAGUGGCCAUCUGCAGGAGAAGAGGAAGCAGACCCUGGGGCACGAGGCCUGGGAGAUGAAGCUGGGGACUAGUUCCCCUUUUGCUCUGGGCAGCCCUGAAGGCGAUCAAGCAUCCCUACCGGAACGUCGGGCUACUGCUGGAGCGACGGUUCUGCAGGGAGCCGGCCGUCAUCCCCACGCUGCCCUCGGGAGAGCCCAUCUUCUCACCGCGGCACCACCCGCUGCCCUGCUCCCCGGACUGCUCCAGCUUGCAGCCCCACAGCCAUCUGGAGAGGCUCUUUUUCAGCCCCGUCCCUGCCAGACUCCGGGCCGGGGCCCUCCGGCGCCCCCAGCACAGGAGAGCAGGAGGGGAUGGGUUCCACUUUGCUGGCCUGUUAGGCAGAGUUCAUUCAACCGGUGAGAGAAGCUGCUUCCCUGGCUGGGAACUGAGCGUGGAGAUGCCUGCUGCAUUAUUUACCGGGCUUCCUACAGAGCUUCCUGAUCGCACAUGGGCCCGGCAGCAGCUCCU